UACGUAGGAGGCGAGCGUUGUCCGGAAUUACUGGGUGUAAAGCGCGUGUAGGCGGUGAGUUAAGUCUGUUGUGAAAGCCCCGGGCUCAACCUGGGAAUUGCGCGCGAAACGGGGGGGCUUGAGUUCGGGAGAGGAGCGUGGAAUUCCCAGUGUAGAGGUGAAAUUCGUAGAGAUGCGGAGGAACACCGAUGGCGAAGGCAGCCCCCUGGGCUAACACUGACGCUCAGGCACGAAAGCGUGGGGAGCAAACAGG
Molecule: ribosomal RNA, 253 nt
Filed under: uncultured bacterium
Lineage: Bacteria
Description: partial 16S ribosomal RNA
Rfam family: Bacterial small subunit ribosomal RNA
Source: RNAcentral